This 76-nucleotide transfer RNA is filed under the name Planctomycetota bacterium. Its description in RNAcentral is "Planctomycetes bacterium (freshwater metagenome) tRNA-Lys". It matches the Rfam family "tRNA". From Rfam's summary of the family: Transfer RNA (tRNA) molecules are approximately 80 nucleotides in length. Their secondary structure includes four short double-helical elements and three loops (D, anti-codon, and T loops). The record is from RNAcentral. Lineage: Bacteria; Pseudomonadati; Planctomycetota.
GGGCCACUAGCUCAGUUGGUAGAGCAGCUGACUCUUAAUCAGCGGGUCCAAGGUUCGAGUCCUUGGUGGCCCACCA